Daphnia pulex (common water flea) is the source of this 1749-nucleotide long non-coding RNA. RefSeq lists it as uncharacterized. NCBI's taxonomy places the organism in Eukaryota, Metazoa, Arthropoda, Branchiopoda, Diplostraca, Daphniidae. The transcript is spliced from 4 exons. The record is from RefSeq and is a predicted model, not a curated record.
AUCUGUAAAUUUAAAAUUUACGAAAUAACAUAACAAUUUAUUGAUAUAAUAAUAAUGAUUUGUCUAAUAAUUGAAUUUAUUUUUGUUCCAUUUUUACUACCUUUGAAACAGAACUCGGAUCUCUCGAUGUGCUUCGGUGAAGAGCAGCUGAAGGUGUUACGGUAUGAACUGAAGCUGUCUCGUUCGUGCUUAGCAAAGUCUCAUCACGGCCAUCCGCCAGCGCCUGAGGAAAAUGAAACCUGAAACGAAAUUAAACCUACCAGUUCACUGAUCACAUCCCAUCUCCAAAAGGAAGAACUGCAUUGCCACAAGGUUAACGUUCUACGAUAGCCUUGCAAACAACGUAAAACCCCAAACAAAAUUAUCGACGUCAUGAAAAUAUUUUAGUAGUACGAAUCAACAACCGACUCAAGUUAAGUUGCGGAACUGUACAUUGAAAAACACAUAAUAAGGACAAGUUAAUCCAAAUUGGGGCAGCUGAUUGGUGACGUCCGAGGCAGAUCCGGUUACGGAAUUAUUAUGCAGACUGCUGCAUUCUCUACAUGGCCACCUCCUAAUGCCGACGGGCCAGCUGGUUCCAAGUGAAGAAUAAAUAAGUCUCUGUCUGACUUUAUUUUGUUGUGUUGGAAAACGGCUCAAAUAUUCCGAUCAAAGAUUGGGAAACCGCAAAACCGGGAACAAAUUUAAACAGGGUUUACACAAUUGCUUCGGUGUUGGAAGUGUUUAGAGCAGCGUGGCCACGAUGUAUCGCCGACAAGUAAAUCACGACCAAGAUCACAUAUCUGCUAAACGAUUUGGCCCAGUGGUGGCUGAAUUUUUAUUCAGACGGACGAGUUGCAGUUAAGUGAUCGAACAAUACGCAUUAUAAGGUAAUUAAGGUAAGAAAUUUUCCUUUAGUCCUUUUCUGUCCGAUUUUGUGGUAAACCAAAGUGGCGCUUUUUCCUGUCACUUCCGAGAACGAAGCCUUGGUAUGAACGGCGUGUGUAAAUUAGCUGUCGCCCCAUGACGACUAAAUCAUUUUUCCCCCCUUCACUUUCAAUUUUUGUCUAGAAUUAUCUUAUUAGCGAGUCUGGGCCGUUUCCGCUGAUACUGUGCCAAUCCUAUGCCGGCUGGUGUUGUGAACGAUGAAACAAUGGCAUGGAUGAAGAAACCUCGUUGUGCGGACUUCCGGAUAGUAUUUUACCGGAAGGUUCUUCCACUUGGCGGAAGCACAACAUUGACAUUAAAAAUACUUGAAGUUGUGGCAUCGGAUCGAACAAUACGCAUUACAAGGUAGUGACUUAUAAUACAGUAACGUGUCGAAUAGCAGCCCAAAGAAGAACCAAUCUUAGUCUGUGGAAGAACCAUUUACUGCCGAUACACCGCAGCAACCAACGGGGCGAUUGAACUUGUAGCCUUUGUAGGGCGAAAGAAGGUGGACAAGGAAGAGAAGUGUGAAUUUUGGUUUCCUUAAUAAGUUAAGAUCGAUAUUGAUUUUCUUAAGACAAGAUUGAUGCCACAAGCAGGACCGAUCCAGUGCUCCUAUCUGCCAUACCUUACAGCCGCUGCUCUGAAUCGGAAAGUUUGCAGCUAAUAAUUCUACUUCAACUUAAAGAUCCACAUUUGAGUUUCACUGUUCUGUUCGUGGAAUAAGUAUUUGAAAGAAGAUAAGGGUCACUUAGGAAGGCAUUCUCUCACGUAACUAUAAAACAUACGGUUUUAGUUUGUAAGGUCAGUCAGUGUCACACCAAAUAAAUUUAAAAAUCAAAA